Molecule: long non-coding RNA, 565 nt
Organism: Carassius auratus (goldfish)
Lineage: Eukaryota; Metazoa; Chordata; Actinopteri; Cypriniformes; Cyprinidae
Exons: 5
Source: RefSeq, a predicted model, not a curated record
AAUAACGUAGUGAAUAAUGAAAGGACACGGUCGUUUUAUAUGUGUAUGCCUUUAGUAUUUGUUAUAUAAUGUUAAAAAUGUCAUACGAGGUGGUUUUUUUCAUAUUUAAUUUUCAUUCACUUCCAGGGAUAGGAUUGGCAUAGAAGAUGCAGCACUCUUUACAUUUUAAAUAUCAAAUGUAUAUCAAGUGUUAUCCAUCCUCAUAACACCUCCACAAAUAUAGACUGGAACUUCUGAGCAACAUCACCUUGUCUGCUUUGGGGCUGUCAUAGCCCAGCAGUCAGAUGCAUCAGAACAACAAAGCACAACUGUGGUAGCCCAGACACCUUCAGCAACAAAGAUUUAACAACACUGUCAGUCAGGAGCAUAUUUAACAGGAGCCACACUCAACUGGCUUGAUGGUGACUUCAGUGCAGUGAAGAUAUUUAAAGAGACACUAUCACUAUCUAAAGUACAGAAAGCCGUAUAUCAUCUCUAGGUGCAGUCACCUACAGUGCAGCCAGCUUUACAAAGACUGUGGGGCUGGUCACCAGGAAAAUGGACAACAGGGAGUGCUUUUGGGGUU